RNAcentral lists this long non-coding RNA (1393 nucleotides) under Homo sapiens (human). RNAcentral's name for it is "non-protein coding lnc-TRIM60-2:1". Lineage: Eukaryota; Metazoa; Chordata; Mammalia; Primates; Hominidae. The record is from RNAcentral.
AUGGCGGAGGCAGCAGCCCUGGCAGGACUCCAGGAAGAGGCCAAGUGCUCCAUCUGUCUGGAUUACCUGAGCAAUCCCGUUCCCAUUGAAUGUGAACACAACUUCUGUCAUUCCUGCAUCCAACAGUCUUGGCUGGAUCUACAGGAAUUGUUCUCUUGCCCUGUCUGUAGUCACCAAUGCCCAGAGGGAAACUUCAGGAGCAACACCCAGCUGGGAAGGAUGAUUGACAUUGCCAAGCUACUCCAGAGAGCCAGAGGCAAUGACGUCAGGCAGGACAAGAUGCCCCUGUGGGAGAAGCACAACCAGCCCCUGAGUGUUUUCUGCAAGGAGGACCUGGUGGUGUUGUGUCCCCUGUGCACUCAGACCCAUGACCACCAAGGCCACCAUGUGAGCCCCAUAGAGGAGGCUGCCUCCCAUCACAGGGAAAGGCUCCACAGUUACCUUGAGACCCUGAAGUUAGGAAGCUGUGAGCCACCCAGGACAGAAAGUUGUUGGAGCUCAGAGAGAAGACAGAAAGCCAAAGGCAGGAAUUAUCCUCUCAGUUGAAGCACCUAACGAAGUUUGUUGACCAUGAAAAGCAGGCAGCUUUCUGUAGAUUAGCUGAGGAAAAGACGGACAUUCAGAAGAAACUCGGUGCAAACAUAAGGGCAUUUUCAGAACACAUUUCCACCCUGAAAGGUCUGCUUACGCAGGUGGCCGAGAUGAGUGUGAUGGCAGAUGUGAAACUGCUGAUGGAUGUAAGGACCGUCCUGCACAGGUGUAAGGCCUGCAGGCCCCAGCUGUCCACUCUAUGCAGCUCCAGAAGGAAGGAAACAGGCUUCCCCUGCAGUACUCGGCUCUUCAGAAAAUCAUACAGAAGUUUAGAGAAGUUACUCUGGAUCCUGAAAGUGCACAUCCUCAUCUGCGUGUCUCUGAGGAUAAGAAAUGUGUGACAUUUGUGAAGGAAAGUCAGAGAGUUCACUGGAAUCCAAAGAGAUUGUUGUCCCAUCCAGUGGUCCUGGGUUCUGAGGGAUUUGAGUGUGGCCGGCAUUACUGGGAGGUGCAAGUGGAUGACAAGCCAAUGUGGACCGUGGGGGUGUGUAAGGAAUCCCUGCCCAGGAAGGGAAAGUGGCCCCUGUCAGGACAGAGCAUGUGCUGGGCUAUCCAGCUGCAGAAUGGUGAGUGUGUGGCCUGAGGCGCUGUUCCUGUCAUCCUUCCGCUAAAGGAGAAGCCCAGAGGAAUUGGCAUUUAUCUGGACUACAAGUUGGGCGAGAUCUCCUUUUACAAUUUGAAUGACAGGUCUCACAUCCAUUCCUUCACUGAUACAUUUUCAGAAGUACUGAAGCCUUAUUUCUGUAUGGGGCAUGAUUCAAAACCUCUUAGAAUCUGCAUAAUGACAGAUUAUGAUGGCUGA